GCGGAGGGAUCAUUACCGAGUUUA
RNAcentral lists this ribosomal RNA (24 nucleotides) under Fusarium sterilihyphosum. RNAcentral describes it as "partial 18S ribosomal RNA". RNAcentral also lists the same sequence under 1 other name. Lineage: Eukaryota; Fungi; Ascomycota; Sordariomycetes; Hypocreales; Nectriaceae. The record is from RNAcentral.